UGGGAUCCUCCCGGACCGGGGCACGAACCCGUGUCCCCUGCAUUGGCAGGCUCAACCACUACGCCACCAGGGAAGCCCUUCAUUUAAAAUUUUUGAAGCAAAAAUAACUUCAGUUGUGCAUUCUUGCCUUAGGAAAGGGAAGGAAAACUGUAAAACAGGUUUGGAGAGAAAAAAUCUCUCUCUGGCCAGAGAAUAGACCUAGCAACAUGGUUAUCUGGUAUCCGGCAUCAACUCGUCACCCUCCCUGAGCUGAUGCCAUCGUAUUCAAGGUUUCAUCUCACCAUCUUCAGCACCAACUCUGCUUCCUGAGUCCCAAGAAGGAAGCCUGGGAGAUGGGAUUGCUAGAAUUCAGUUUCAUCUGCUAGUCUUCUGCCAGUUCUCUGCAGACUGCAAGAAAGAUGAACUUGCUUGUCCCUCUCCUUUGGGUGGGAUCCCAAGCACCACGGCCCCUUGAAGACCUUCAGCUUUAGCAUCAUCAUGCCCAAGGGCUCUUGCACGGCACUUAAGGGACUACAGACCAUGGAGGCUGGAGAGCGCGAGUCCUCCUGAGUCAGAGCAGGGAUAACAAGACGUUGCUGCGGGAAAUGAUUUUGCCCUUGGUCAUGGCCAUUUACCAUGAUUGCAGGUGACUUUCAGAGUGAGUGGAUGUUUGCACACAAGUUGGAACUCGAAGGAACUUCAGGUUCAAUCUCCAUCCUUUAGCUGACCGGACCAUCACCCCCAGCAAGACCUUAGGAGCCAAGGGUUGGCGGGAGAGUCACUGUCAGCCUGGAUCCCUUCAUGACUAUGUGGAAGAGAGACGCCCUACUCACCCCUGUCCCCUACUGCAAGUGUGGUUUAUUGAAACACAGUUUCUGAACAAGUGAUAUGGGAUAAUGAGUCACCACUCACUGUAGAGCCUGGCAGGUGACAGAUGCUCGAGAGAUCUAGACCGAAUACAUAUCUUCGUUCCUUGAGGGUUGUUGUGCUAUCUUAAUGAAAAAUCAUUUUGGAGAGAGAUAUCAACAUGGAAAAGCUAAUUGCUGGAGGACUUCAGAUAUGGCUAAAGAAUAACCUGUGGAAUCAGACACACCUGGAUUUGAAUCUGGGGAAGGGCCCUCCCACCCCAGCAAGGUGACACCAGUGCUGAAACUGAACGGCAAGAAGGAGCCCGCCAGAAAGGAAAGCAUCACCAGGUAAUGGCUCCGCAAGGAGUCACGUCACUGGUUCCAUGUGCUGACAUGCGAUCAAGGCAUGUUCUUGGGGAGGGCAAGGCAUGAAGGUUGAUUACAGUCUUUCGUCUUUGUUCAGCGAGAUCAAAGUUCUGUGACCAUCCUGACACUCUAAGUAGCAUUUCUGCAGCAAGUCUCAAGGUGUCUGAAAACAGCCAAGCGUCACUCAGCUCAACCCACGCGGCCCGCGAGGGGCAGGCGAGCAGUUUUGGACAGGGAGCGGCACCUGGCCCUGCGAAGGGUUAAUAUUCAGCUGGGCCGCCCACCUCCUCCCUCUGGCUCCCCUCCCGGCGCCCAAAAGACCCAGUAACUGCUUUCGCCUUCAGAUCUCAGGUCAGCAGAGUUCCGAGGAAAGCUUUAAGGCUGUUUACUUUGUUUACAUUUGUGCAGAUCCUCAGAAGAACCCCCAUUUCUUUUUAUGUUCAGAAAUCACUUACCGAAGUUCAAGCCAACCGUAACAGUUAUCCUGGCUUCAGAAACUGAGAUGGGAACGACUGUGGUGUAAGUUCAGAGUGGGUAACCUGUAACGUGAAUUUUGUGUUUCUCUCAUCUAACUCUGAUCUGAUUAGCCAUAUACUUUUACACUCAGAACUCUGCUGACCUAGAUCUUGCACAGAUAGGCUUUUCAAGAUAAAUACAGCUCUUGACAAGCAGACUUUCUUAAAAAAUAACAGGCAUGUGUUUUGGGGAGUAAAGACUGAGGAAGGCCACCUGCUCUGACGUCCCUGGACCUGGAGCUCCCUCAGGAGCAGCCAGCACACGGGCGGAGCCGCACUCACCUGCCAGUUGGUGGCCAUAUCCAGAGGAGUGGUUCCUGGCAGGACUCCUUCAUCCUCUCCAUCCUCGUCCCAAGAGUCAUCCAGGUUGUACAGAGGCUCAAAGUUCUCCACCAGGGGAUCUGCUCCUGCGAAGUCAAGUUAACACAGCGUUAGGUAAACCCACAUCUUGUCAACUUCUAACUGCCUGCAGGGGUCAGAGUCUAUAAACAGAUAAAACAUGUUUAUUUAUAAGCAUAUAAAACACAUUUUCUACUGAAAUAUCCAGAAACCUGCUUUUAAACUUAAAAAUUUAAAUUUAAAUAAGUUCUAAUGCAUCUUGACUGUAAAGGUGACUGCAGAUACCCCAUAUGGCCAAGGACACUUUCAAAAACAAAAGACCUGGAACAUGCUGACUCUCACAUUUGACGCUAUAGGACAGUUUUCAAGUGAACGAUGCAUCUUUAACCUGAGGACCGACGGCAGCAGUUUACAGGGACCAGGGUGCACGCUCGGGAUUAAGGUCCUAAAUGUUCAAAUUGAUGCCCAGCGCCGCACGUUUCUCAGCCUCUUCACCUGCUGGCUCAAAAGAGCAAAGCUGCUGCUGUCUAGUGCCAACCUGUUCCGCUUUACUCCUGGGUACGGCACUGAUCCUUAAACGCAAAAUGCCAAGAAAACCUUCUGGUAGGAUGUGGAGUUGUUGAAAAAGUUAGGGCCAAUCUUGGAAAAUCUGGUCUGUUCCUUAGCCAGCAGCGAGAAACACCUGAAGUAACUCAAAAAUUAAGGCUAGAGUUAACUUCUCAAAGGCUUAGAGAGACUAUUUUAUUGCUGCCUGAUGAACAGUAGGAAGUUCAGCACGCUCUCCUUUUGGAAAGAGGACCUUGUUUUAGUCUUGCUGGGAGGACGUUUGACUCUUGACAACUUCAAUAAUAGGGGAUAAUAAAUAAUAAUAGAGAUAAUAAUAAUAAUAAUGAGAGGAUCUGCAUGCCACUUCUUACUCUGUUCUCCCAGCUGCAGCCUGAUCUCUGGGGCAGUAAGUGUCACCCGACCACGGAAACAGUAGAGAAACUAGGAUGAACAAUUUGCAGGACCCAAGAUGGAGAAGCUUAACUAGGAAGAGAGGAUUGAAUUGGAAUAACACCUUCAAAUCCUUGAGCAAAACAGGGGACAGAAACACAGCAGAGAGAAUGGAGUCUGGAAGUUCAGGGUGACGAGGUGUGACUCACAGCUCUGCCCCUUACUGGGGCCCUGGGACCGGGAUGCAGAAGUCUCUCUAGUCUGUUUCCUUGGCUAUAAAAUGGGGCUAAUAAUGGGCUUUGUCUCAAAGGGUUAUUGUGGAUUAAGUAAGACUAAAUGAGACAGUGCGUGUGGAGUGCCUACAGCCCAACAGCCCAACAGCAGCUAGCGAUGUUUAGUGCCUGGUGCGCGACAGUACUCAACACACCGCCCGCUUGUUUCUUCCUAUUACUCUGGCUUCUCAGGGACCUUUCUUGCAAAAGGAAGUCUUUAAAUCAUUUCUUACCCAAUAAACUUUUCCUUCUGAGGACUUGUGACAUGACCUGAGGUGGAUACUGCUCCGAGUUCUACAAGGAAUUCGAUUCAACGUUAAGAGCUCUUGUCAUGGGAGUCAAUGAAGACAGCCCACAUCCAAAACAAACAGGUGAACUGGAGAGUAAAAACUAACGUGACUGUCAGCACGAAGCCCGGGACUACUAGUCCAAACAGUGCCUCUACGGCAGUUGAAUGUGAUUUGCCAGAGAACUUUUAUUUACUUGUGCCUUUCUGCAGCGGGUCUGUGGCUUAAGAAGGUGGCGUGGCUGCUCUACUGAGGCUGGGUUUGCAUUCCUGAUGACAUUUUCCAUCACCGACCGCCAG
Molecule: long non-coding RNA, 3841 nt
Organism: Aethalodelphis obliquidens (Pacific white-sided dolphin)
Lineage: Eukaryota; Metazoa; Chordata; Mammalia; Artiodactyla; Delphinidae
Exons: 9
Source: RefSeq, a predicted model, not a curated record